This 446-nucleotide ribosomal RNA is filed under the name Calyptotheca sp. QY-2004. RNAcentral's name for it is "partial 16S ribosomal RNA". It matches the Rfam family "Bacterial large subunit ribosomal RNA", at positions 1836 to 2627 of the family's 2925-position model. Lineage: Eukaryota; Metazoa; Bryozoa; Gymnolaemata; Cheilostomatida; Lanceoporidae. The record is from RNAcentral.
CCNUUGAUUCUUCCAAGUAACGUCUGCCCAGUGUUAUAUAAACGGCCGCGAAAGUGCUAAGGUAGCAUAAUAAUUUGUUUUUUUAUUGAAGACUACAAUGGCAUAACGAAGCUUGACUGUCUUAAUAUUUAAAAUUAAAAUUAAUUUAAAAGUGAAAAAUCUUUUAUUUUUAUGAAGGACGAGAAGACCCUAUAGAGUUUUAGUAUAACUACUUUUAUUGGGGCAAUAUAUGAAUAAAUAAAAUCAUAACAUUUAUUUCCUUAAAAAGAAAAUAAAAUAAACUACCUUAGGGAUAACAGCGUAAUCUUAUCUAAGAGACCUAAUCGAAGAUUAGGAUUGCGACCUCGAUGUUGGACUAAGGAAACAAAAAUAUGCAGAAGUAUUUUGUGUGAGCCUGUUCGGCUUUUAAAACCUUACAUGAUCCUGAGUUCAGACCGGAANCUUAC